Molecule: ribosomal RNA, 442 nt
Filed under: uncultured bacterium
Lineage: Bacteria
Description: partial 16S ribosomal RNA
Rfam family: Bacterial small subunit ribosomal RNA
Source: RNAcentral
CCUACGGGGGGCAGCAGUGGGGAAUAUUGGGCAAUGGGCGCAAGCCUGACCCAGCAACACCGCGUGAAGGAAGAAGGCUUUCGGGUUGUAAACUUCUUUUGUCAGGGAAGAGAAGAAGACAGUACCUGACGAAUAAGCCACGGCUAACUACGUGCCAGCAGCCGCGGUAAUACGUAGGUGGCAAGCGUUGUCCGGAUUUACUGGGUGUAAAGGGCGUGUAGCCGGGUUGACAAGUCAGAUGUGAAAUCCUGCGGCUUAACCGCGGAACUGCAUUUGAAACUGUUGAUCUUGAGUACUGGAGAGGCAGGUGGAAUUCCUAGUGUAGCGGUGAAAUGCGUAGAUAUUAGGAGGAACACCAGUGGCGAAGGCGGUCUGCUGGACAGCAACUGACGGUGAGGCGCGAAAGCGUGGGGAGCAAACAGGAUUAGAUACCCCGGUAGUC